GUGUUGUAUGUAAGGAGAGAAGGUUAGCAUUCAUUUUGACAAGGAUUGGAGAGAGCCCAGUCACUGUUAUGAUACAAAUUGUUAAGGCACUGCCACCUACUUUGAGGCAUCUCUAACUCUGUUUUUUC
RNAcentral lists this non-coding RNA (128 nucleotides) under Leptobrachium leishanense (Leishan spiny toad). The record is from RNAcentral. Lineage: Eukaryota; Metazoa; Chordata; Amphibia; Anura; Megophryidae.